UAGCUCAGUCAGUAGAGCAUGAGACUCUUAAUCUCAGGUUCAUGGGUUCAAGGCCCAC
Molecule: transfer RNA, 58 nt
Filed under: Mesocricetus auratus (golden hamster)
Lineage: Eukaryota; Metazoa; Chordata; Mammalia; Rodentia; Cricetidae
Rfam family: tRNA
About the family: Transfer RNA (tRNA) molecules are approximately 80 nucleotides in length. Their secondary structure includes four short double-helical elements and three loops (D, anti-codon, and T loops).
Source: Rfam by way of RNAcentral